RNAcentral lists this non-coding RNA (243 nucleotides) under Chaetoceros affinis. The record is from RNAcentral. Lineage: Eukaryota; Bacillariophyta; Thalassiosirophyceae; Chaetocerotales; Chaetocerotaceae.
GUCUAUUUUUCCUCACCUUAAUCGCCCUUGUUUAUUAGAGUUUGAGUGCCUUUAUAAUUGUGCAAUCAAACAAUUCGAGGAGCAUUAUAUUAAGCUCGUCAACGUGGAUGUUUUCAGCCGACACGAUACAGUGGAGACAACACGAAAGCACAGCAUAAUCCAGUCAGUAUUGAGGCAACUGUUAUGAAAAAAGAAAAAAAAACAAAACAAAUGCGUUGAUACAUCUCCCAAACAUGGACAUAU